GAUGAACGCUGGCGGCGUGCUUAACACAUGCAAGUCGAACGAAAAGGCCCUGCUUUUGCGGUGUACUCGUGGGGCGCGGGGGUGUGAAACACGAGUGUAAACCCCCCUUGUCUUUGGGAUAACUUUACGAAAGGGGGGCUAACACCGGAUAGGAGCUCAUGACCCGUGGGGGGGGUUGGAGAGUUUCGGCGGUUGGGGAUGGUCUCGCGGUAUAUGCGCUUGUUGGUGGGGUAGUGGCUUACCAGGGCAUUGACGGGUAGCCGGCCUGGGAGGGUGACCGGCCACAUUGGGACUGAGAGACGGCCCAGACUCCUACGGGAGGCAGCAGUGGGGAAUAUUGCACAAUGGGCGGAAGCCUGAUGCAGCGACGCCGCGUGCGGGAUGACGGCCUUCGGGUUGUAAACCGCUUUCGGUAGGGAAGAAGCGAGAGUGACGGUACCUGAAAAAGAAGCACCGGCUAACUACGUG
This 468-nucleotide ribosomal RNA is filed under the name uncultured bacterium. RNAcentral describes it as "partial 16S ribosomal RNA". It matches the Rfam family "Bacterial small subunit ribosomal RNA", at positions 28 to 507 of the family's 1533-position model. The record is from RNAcentral.